This 472-nucleotide ribosomal RNA is filed under the name uncultured bacterium. RNAcentral describes it as "partial 16S ribosomal RNA". It matches the Rfam family "Bacterial small subunit ribosomal RNA", at positions 28 to 507 of the family's 1533-position model. The record is from RNAcentral.
GACGAACGCUGGCGGCGUGCUUAACACAUGCAAGUCGAACGAUGAACCCGGAGCUUGCUCUGGGGGAUUAGUGGCGAACGGGUGAGUAACACGUGAGUAACCUGCCCUGGACUCUGGGAUAACCGUUGGAAACUACGGCUAAUACCGGAUAGGACCUUGGAUCGCAUGGUCUGGGGUGGAAAGUUUUUUCGGUCGGGGAUGGACUCGCGGCCUAUCAGCUUGUUGGUGGGGUAAUGGCUGACCAAGGCUUCGACGGGUAGCCGGCCUGAGAGGGUGACCGGCCGGACAGGGAGUGAGAGAGGGACCAGACUCCUACGGGCGGCAGGAAUGGGGAAUAAAGAAUAAAGGGCGGAAGGAUGAUGGAGCAACGACGCGUGCGGGAUGGAGGACUUCGGGUUGUAAACAGCUUUUAGUCGGGAAGAAGGGAUUCGGCUUGACGGUACCUGCAAAAAAAGGACCGGCUAACUACGUG